UCCUACGGGAGGCAGCAGUGAGGAAUAUUGGUCAAUGGAGGCAAGUCUGAUCCAGCCAUGCCGCGUGAAGGAAGACUGCCCUAUGGGUUGUAAACUUCUUUUAUACAGGAAGAAACCUUUCUACGUGUAGAAACCUGACGGUACUGUAAGAAUAAGGACCGGCUAACUCCGUGCCAGCAGCCGCGGUAAUA
This 191-nucleotide ribosomal RNA is filed under the name uncultured Bacteroidota bacterium. Its description in RNAcentral is "uncultured Bacteroidetes bacterium partial 16S ribosomal RNA". It matches the Rfam family "Bacterial small subunit ribosomal RNA", at positions 337 to 525 of the family's 1533-position model. The record is from RNAcentral. Lineage: Bacteria; Pseudomonadati; Bacteroidota.